Molecule: long non-coding RNA, 44467 nt
Filed under: Gossypium barbadense (sea-island cotton)
Lineage: Eukaryota; Viridiplantae; Streptophyta; Magnoliopsida; Malvales; Malvaceae
Description: long non-coding RNA (GBAR_LNC021904)
Source: RNAcentral
UUACAAGUCUCUAUUUAAUUUAUUUAAGGAAAGAAUGCACAUUUAUUUAAUUCACCCAAAUACCAUAAAUAUUUUGGGAAAAAAUGUCUCAGAUAAUGGAGCAAAUUUAGACAGUAGUAUAAUGUGGAAUAUUUGAUUUGAUUUUGUAUAGAUUUUGUAUAUUAAUGUAUAGGGAUUAAUUGAUGAUACUUUUACUAAAGGAAUCUAAAUAUAAUGUUUUCAUGUGCCCUGCCAUCAGCAUUGCCGUUAAUUACAGCAUCGGUUACUGCAUAAGAUUCGUAUGACCCAAAUUAAAUAAAUAAUUAAAUUACAUAAUUGUAUAAAAUUGGGAGUAUCCUUUUCUAAUCUAAUUUCUUUUCACAUUUAACUUUCAUUCAUAUCGAUUAUGAUACCCUGUUUAAAUCUUCUUCCAUUUGUCAACUAUUUCAUUUCCAAAAUCCAUUUGUCAACUAUUUCAUUUCCAAAAAUAUAUUUUGGUUUGUUCUCUUUUAUUUUUUAUUUACCUAAUUAAAUAAAUUUUGUGGCAAAGUUAUAUUUUAAAUAUUUUAAUUUAUUUUAAUCACGAAUUUUUUAAAAUAUAUUUUUUUUAAAGUUCAAAUUUCAUAACUUACGUAUUUUACAUAAUUUACAUAAUUCAUAAUUUACAAAAUUUAAAUAUAUAAUACUUGGUUCUACAUAACUUAUUAAUAUUUAUAUAUAGUUUUAAUACAUAUAAUUUUAAAAUUAUAUAUCCUACAUAAUAUCCUAACUUACAUAGUAUCGUACAUAAUAACUUACAAAAACUUACAUAAUAACCUACAUAAUAACUUAUAUAACAAUACAUAACCUACAUAAAUUAAAAAAGUUCUACGCAUAACACACAAAAACAAUAACUUACAUAACUUACAUAAACUUGCAUAAAUUAAAUAACUUGCAUAAAUUAAAUAACUUACAUAACUUACAUAACCUACAUAACUUACAUAAAUUAAGUAACUUUACGGAACUUACAUAACUUCCAUAACCUACAUAACGUACGUAAAUUAAGUAACUUACAUAACCUACAUAAAUAAAAUAACUUACAUAACUUACAUAACCUACAUAACUUACAUAACUUACAUAAACUUGCAUAAAUUAAAUAACUUACAUAACUUACAUAACGUACAUAAAUUAAAUAACUUACAUAACUUACAUAAAUUAAGUAACUUACAUAACUUACAUAAACUUGCAUAAAUUAAAUAACUUACAUAACUUACAUAACGUACAUAAAUUAAAUAACUUACAUAACUUACAUAAAUUAAGUAACUUACAAGAUUUAGGCCUUGGGUACAACAAAAUCCAUAGUUGCCAAAAUGACUGUAUGUUGUAUUGGGGCGAGAGAAAUGACCAACAGUGCUGUCAUGUAUGCGGCCAAUCCCGUUGGAUUAGUAGAAACACAGAAGAUGGGAAGGACGAUAAAAAUGGUGCACAGUCGAGAAAGAAGCCAGUCAAGAUUUUGCGGUAUUUUCCCCUGAUACCAAGGCUUCAAAGGCUAUUCAUGUCGUCCAAGACAGCGGAAUCAAUGACGUGGCACCAUGAUGGACGAACCGAUGAUGGAUUACUAAGGUAUCCGGCAGAUUCUUUAGCUUGGAAAUCAUUUGACAAUAAAUUUCCAGGCUUUGCAAGCGAUCCUAGGAGUGUGAGGCUUGGUCUAGCAUCUGAUGGAUUUAAUCCUUUCAAGAUCAUGAGCACUACGUACAGUACUUGGCCAGUAGUGCUUGUUCCUUAUAAUCUGCCUCCGUGGAUUUGCAUGAAGCAAUCUUCCCUUAUCUUAUCUAUGAUUAUCCCUGGUGAGAAAGGGUCCGGGAAUGAUAUCGACAUUUAUUUACAGCCACUUAUUGAAGAGUUAAAACAAUUAUGGGCUGGUGUCGAGACAUAUGAUGUGGUGAGAAAGGAGAACUUUAAUUUACGUGCGGCUUUGAUGUGGACCAUUAAUGACUUUCCCGCUUAUGCCAAUUUAUCUGGUUGGAGUACCAAGGGUCGUUAUGCGUGUCCUUGUUGUGCUACACAAACAUGUUUGCAAUGGUUGUACAAUGGGAAGAAGUUUUCUUACAUGGGGCAUCGUCGGUGGUUACCGAAAAAUCAUAGAUUUAGAUUUCAGAGUUCUGUAUUUGACGGCACUGAAGAGUUCAGAGAAGCUCCUUCCCAGACCAGUGGCUCUGAAAUAUUGUUCAUGUUGGAAGAUAUGAAUUUUAUAUAUGGGAAGAUGAACCAACUGCCAAACACACAGAGAAACAGAAGAUCAAAUGAUGAAGCUGAUGAGAGCUCUGACGAAGAGGACGAUCCCAAUGAGGCGGACUUGUGGAAAAAAAGAAGUAUUUUUUUUGAGUUACCUUAUUGGGAGCUUCACCUUUUACGACACAAUUUUGAUGUUAUGCACAUUGAGAAAAAUGUCUGCGAGAACAUUGUGGGUACAAUUUUGAACGUCGACGGAAAAUCAAAAGACAAUCUUCAGAGUCGACUUGAUUUAGUCCAAAUGAGAACCCGACCUGAUCUUCAUCCCAAUCCACUCCCGAAUGGGAAAUAUCGGUUGCCGCCUUCUAUUUUUUCAAUGUCGAAGACGGAAAAAGAAGUGUUUUGCACAGUGUUGAAGGAUAUAAAGGUUCCAGAUACGUAUGCAUCAAAUAUAUCUCGAUGUGUUAGUGUUAAAGAUCGAAGAUUAUAUUCGCUAAAAUCACAUGACUAUCACAUCUUGAUGCAAGAUUUACUGCCAGUUGCUCUACGAUGUUGUAUGUCGAAGAAGGUAACGUCUUGUAUAAUUGAACUGUCCAAUAUAAUGAAAGCCAUUUGUGGUAAAGUUUUGGAUGUUCAAGAACUUCAGAAGGUACAAGAUCGAGCUGCUUUGACUUUAUGCAACUUGGAGAAAAUCUUCCCACCUUCUUUCUUCACUAUUAUGGUUCACUUGAUAAUCCAUCUCCCGCAUGAAGCAAUUCUUGGCGGACCUGUUUUCUAUCGAUGGAUGUAUCCCAUAGAAAGGUGUUAAUUUAUUUUUAAAAUUUUUCCUCAUUCACCUAAAGUUGUUUUAGUUACAACUUUUGAUAAUUUGUAUAUUGUUUUUAGGUUCCUAUCCAAACUAAAGUCUUAUUGCCGCAACAAGCGUUAUCCAGAAGGAUCGAUUGCUGAAGGCUACUUGGCAGAAGAAUGUAUGAUCUUCUGUUCAAGAUAUUUGGAAGAUGUUGAAACAAGGUUGAACAGACCAAGUAGAAAUGCUAGACUCACGGAACAUAACUCUGCCGAUUCUUAUCUGUUCCAAAGUUUUGGAGAACCAAUCGGCAAAGUUGAUAUUGCAGAAUUAGAUGAUUUAUCGUGGGUACAAGCACAUCGAUAUGUUCUGUUUCACCAUGAAUCAAUGGAACCAUUACGGAAGUAAGUUUUAGAAAUUUGAUAAAUAUUCAUCAAUCCAAAAUUGUUUAUAUUCUAACAAAGCGAACAUUUUUUUUUAACAUAGUGAGUACAAACAAAUAUUGAGAUCUCGUUCGCGCUCCCGAAGAACACAACAUCGAGAUAUCAAUAAGUUGUUCACUGAAACUUUUCAUGAAUGGUUAAGCCAAACGGUAUGUAAUUGGAGCUUUAUUUAAAAAUAAUAAAGUUUUCUCAUUACAUUUUUAAUUACUUAGUUUACUUUCCAUUCAAUAGGUUUGGAGUGGGAAGAAUGUGAAUGACGAAGUUAAAUGGCUUUCCCAAGGUCCAAAUUGAGUGGUUAAAAGAUAUAGUGCGUUCCUCAUCAACGGAUUCAGAUUUCAUACAAAAUAUCGCGAGAGAUUGAGGAGAACGCAAAAUUGUGGAAUAGUUGUUAAUUCCUCAAUUACAAGUUAUGCUAGUGCUAGGGACAAUAAUCCUGUCCAGGGAAAUGUGGAAUAUUUCGAACUUCUUACUGACAUAAUUGAGUUAGAUUACUAUGGCAAAUGGAAAGUUGUCUUAUUUCGAGGUGAUUGGGCCGAUGUUAAUACUGCUCGUGGAAUUAAGCAAGAUCAAUUUGGUUUUAUAAUGGUCAACUUCGCUCGAUUGAUUCACACAGGACAACAACUGAUAGAUGAGCCAUAUGUAUUCUCAUCUCAAGUCAGACAAGUUUUUUACUCAAAAGAUCCAACCGACGAGUGUUGGUACGUUGUACUUCGUAACAUCCCUAGAGACUUGUUUGACAUGGGCAGUGGAAGUAGAGAUAAUAUCGAUGAUAGAUCAGAAACUGUGCCCUUUCCGGAACAACACUUAAACGAAAGUAUCCCUAGUACUAGUACGCAAUUUCAAUGGGUUCGCCAGGAUGCAGAUGAAGAUAUUUACGAAUAAUGAUGUAGUAAGAAUAUACGAUUGUUUAAUUAUAUGUAUAUCAUAAUUUAAAUCUUGGUCUUAUUAUAUAUUUUGACUAUUUGAUAUUCGCUGUUACUGUUGUAAUUAGUUACUAAGUUUUCAACUAUUUUAUAUGUAUUGCAGAAAAAAUGCCCAGAAGAAAAAUGCGAGAGGUAGGCAUUGUUCAAAGUGCUCCAAAUUCGGCAGAAAUAAAUAGUGAAGAACAUGCAGGAAUUGGAUCUUCGAAUGUUCCGAUUAUACCUGAGGAUCCUCCAGAAGUUCAAAGUAAUUUUAGAUUUAAUUUACAUACGUGUUGACUUGUAAUUGGUUUAUUUUUCAAAAUCUUAUAUUAUAAUAUACCAUUUUUCAGCUAAAAAUGGUAGGACGCGCAGAGGUCGAGGUCGUACGCUACUUAGCGAGUUGUACGAGUUAGAUCCAGUCGAGCGUGUCAAAGUAUGCAGAAACAGUUUUGGUCAGCCUGUUGGAACAGAAGCUCGACUAUUAGCAGGAUACAUGGGCAUUUUAGCACGAAAUGCGAAUAUGUUGCCUAUCAACUACGACUCAUGGCAUCAAAUGCCCGAUAGUAACAAAAAUCAAGCCAUCGAUAAUAUUAAGGUAACAAAACGUUAAUGUCAUCUGUAAUACUUGGGAAUUAGUUUCACUUAUAUUUACUUUCUUAACUUGUGUUCUUUGUAGGCGAGGUUUGCCUUAGAGGUCUCGGAUGCCUAUGUAAAGAAGGCAUUGGGAAAAAGAUGGAGAGACCAUAAAAGUACUUUAAAGAGAGAUUAUUAUAAGGUAAAAACAACCCUCGAUGAGAAAUUGCAAAAUGUCCCGCCGGGUAUGCUGAGGUACCAAUGGGAAGAUGCGGUUAGAUUUUGGCAUUCGAAGAAAUGCGAGGUAUGAUGUACUUCUAAACUCUUGUAAUUAUUUUGGUUUAUUGUAUUUACUAUUUUCGUACUAAUAAUUUCAUAACGUAGGAUCGUGAACGGGUUGGAAAAAACAGCAGGGAGAAACAAAAAUUCACGCACACAGCCGGGUCGAAAAGUUUUGCUUGUGUAGCUGAGGCUGAGGUAUUUUUAAUUUUUUAAUACUGUCAAAUAUGUGUUACUUUCCAUUAAAUAAUAUUUUUACUACUAUAUUGUAGGAACGGUCAUCCGGUCAAAAAGUUGGACGCCUUCAACUUUUUGAGAUUACACAUAAGAAGAAAGAUGGAUCUCCUAUGACUCCUGAAGCUGCAGAAAUAAUUGUACGUUUACUUAAUACGAUUUUCUAAUAGUUUAAUUCAUUGCUUGUAAUGCUACUAUUGUUAACUUGUGUUGCAUUUGUUUUUUUAAUAUAUAUUGUGUUCCUAAAUAUGUGAUUUAUUUAUUAGGAGAAACUAAAUAAUAAAAAGGCAGAGUACGAAGCGAUUGCUUCUAGUGAUAGUUCUGUUCAUCUUGAAGACAUUGAUAACCGGAUUAUUACUGAAGUUAUGGGUCCUGAAAGGUAUGGCCGGGUUCGAUUUCAAGGAUCUUUUGUUAGCCCAACCCAAUAUUUUGGAUCCAACUCGCAGCAAUACAUGCGUUCAGGGAGUCAGGCUCAAGCUGAAGUUCAGAGGUUAAAAGACCAGAUGGCUCAAAUGCAAGCGACCACAGUUGAGGUUCAAAAGAAAUAUGAAGAACUCCAGCUACAACUUAGAGUAGAUACGACAGCGAGAGAAGCAGAGGUUCAAAAGAAAUAUGAAGAACUCCAGCGACAACUUAAAGCUGAUGCGGCAUCCAGAGAAGCAGAGGCUGCAGCGAGAGAAGCAGAGUAGAACAGAAAGUACGACGAACUCCAACAACAGCUUCAGAGUAUGAUGAAGAUGUUUCAGCACUCCCAACCUCCGUCGUCAUAGUGUAUUGUAUAAAUAUUUUUAUCAUUUUAACAUUUUUAUGAAAAUAAUAGAAUAUUGAUAUUAAUAUUAUAUUAUUCGUUUAAUUUGAAAUAUUAUAUAAAUUUAUUGCUAUUGGCUGGUAUAGAUUUAGUUGCUUUUGAUUUGUUGCUACAAGAGGGUUGAAAAAAAAUUUGGUAUUUUUAAAAAACCCCAAAAUUAGUGGCGUUUUUUAAAAAAGCGCCGCUAAAACAACCAACAAAAAAUGGCGUUUGUCUAAAAAGCGCCGCUAAAGAACAUUAGCUUUAGCGGCGUUUGUGUUAGAAGUGCCGCUAAAGAACAUGUUCUUUAGCGGCGCUUUUAAAAAUAAACGCCGCAAAUAUUUGUGGCGUUGUCAUUAGUGGCAAUUUUAGUGGCGCUUUAUGAAGCGCCGCAAAUACUUUUAGUGGCGCUAAAAAGCGCCGCUAAAGGCUUAAAAAAACACCGCUAAAAACCUGUUUUGGUGUAGUGUCUCUUCGGUUGUGGAUUUAAACUUGCAGCUCCAAGAAGCUUUCCGACAGUACGAGUAUUCUCAGUCUUUUUGUUAAAACCCAGGACUUGCUCUACCAUUCUUACCCAUUCAACUAAAUCUGCAAGCUCAGUAAUUCUAUGCUAUACCAACUGAAAUCGCAACUCCUCGCGUAAACCACGCAGAAAUCACUUGCAACUGUCAAUUUAAGUUGGCACAAAAUCAACAGGAUACCUACUAAGUCGCAAGAACUCUUGUUCAUAAUCAACCACAGACAUUUCACCUUGUUUCAGCAUCAAAAACUCUUGUUUUCUAUCUUUAAUAUACAAUUAUAUUUUUUUUGAAAUUCCUUUUAGAAGAUUUCCCAAUUUACCUGAUCUAAGGAUACAUGACGCGUCACUGACUCCCACCAGGUAUAUGCUUCUCAUUGCAGUAGAGGAACAACAUAUAUUACACUUUCACGUGGGUUGCAUUCAAGUUGUUGCAAGCUGCGUUUAAUGGAUUCAAUGCAAAAUUCAGCUGCAAAAAGAUCAACUCCUUUCAAUCCUAAGAAUUCAGUUGCACCGUAUUUACGCAAUUCUUUAAUCAAAGCUCGACGAAUAGUAGGUACAUAUGUCGUAGCGGAUGUGGUUCCCACCAUUCGCUGAAGAGCAUCAACGAUAGCUCUCAGUAACUGUGAAUCAUCUCUUUCUUCAAUAUUACCUCGUUCAAUGUUAGGUUGUUGAGUACUAACUGGAUUAACACUUAGUGUUGCCUAUUCGGUUCCAUCUAACUCAUUGGAGACAUCAUCUCCGGUAUACAUCUCUUGAUCAACAUCAUCAUUAUAAUCAUCUGACAUUUUUAACUAUAAAACAAAACCAAAUAUAUCAGCAUCCAAAUCCUGACUCAAUUCGACACAAUCAUGGCAUGUACCUCUAGACUCAAUUUCAAGCUCAAUUUAGUCUAAGAAUCAGCUAAACCUGCAAAACUCUAAUACCACUAAAUGUAACACCCUUACCCAUAUCCGUCGCCAAAUAAGAGUUUUGAAGCAUGACUAAAGUUUAUCGAUCAAAUAGGUAGAAUUCUCAAACAUUUCAUAUCAUCAAAACAAGUCAUCAAAGCAUAAUUUUAAUCCAAAUUGUAAACAUUCCAAAUCCAAAUCAAUUUAUCUAGUUCAUGAGCACUUAAACAUAGAAUUAAAUUCACAUGCACCUAUCUAGAUUUAGUUCAAUUUACCAUGCCAAAAUAUGGCUUAAAAAACAAACACAUAUUUAUAUGUAUAAAACCAACCAAUAUUAAACUUAUAAUCUCAUUUACAUUAAAUCCACAAAAUAACUAUUAUUUAGACACACUAGGUACAUGCCGACACAAAAGAGUAAUCACCACGUUUGAGUUCGGGAGCAUUGUUGGAUACUGAAUUGGCAAUCAAAAUUGAAGUACCUAAUUUGCACACAAAAAACAAAACCGUAAACUGAGUAAAACUCAGUGGUAUUUCUAUAAUCCGAAUAUUUAAAGACAAGAUAAUAUAAUGUGCAUAUUUUAAUUAUAAGCACAGUUGAAUAUUUAAUACCACAUUUAUUCAUACAAUGGAAUUAACCAUUCAAUAUCCAAUUCAUAAAUACAUCAUUUCAUACCAUUCUCAAAUCUUAUCACUUGCUAUAUAAUAGCUUUUCACAAUUUAAUAUAUAUAUCAUUUAAAAAAUAAUAUUAUUCAAUCCAUAUCCAAUUCAUGAAUACGUAAUUCAUGUGUCUCAUUUUCAUGUCUCAAUUCAGUAUCCCAUUUUCAUUCACAUACAAUAUCAUCCAAUAUCAAUUAUAGUACUAUUUUAUUUAAUUAGCCCAAUUAACACGACUCAGACUCAGACGGAUACACAGAUCCAACCAACACACCAAUUUGACACCUAGUGCCUCAUCGGAUAAAUCCGAAGUAAUAAUUGUGCCUAGCGCUAUAUAAAUUUGACACUCAGUGUCUCAUUGAUUAAACCGAAGUAAAUUGGCACCCAGUGCCUCAUCGACUCGAAGUUGAAGAAAUCCCUGAACUUUUCCAAUCCUAUGGCAUCUAUAUCUGACUGAGCCCGAUACAGUUAAUAGGAUUUAAUUUCACUUUCCAAAUACAACCAAUAUUCAACUAUCAUAUUUGCACAUAUAUAUUCAUUUCAAUUCAAAUAAUCAAUUUAUUCAUAAUAUAUAUCAAUUACAUCAAUUCAAUCAACUUUUAAUUCAAUUCAACGUCAAAGUGCCAAAUACUCACCUCAACACUUACCAUAUGCAUUAAAUAAAAAAUACAACAAUAAUAACUAGUUUCAGAUUAUAGAAAUACAAACUAGGAAUUUUAAGCUAUUCCACAUCAACUUUAUCUUUCCCUUUUUUAGUUGAGGGUUCCGGUACGACGUUAGCUAUGGAAUUAAAACAAUUAAAAUUCAUCAAUACAACACAAUUCAAUUUCAUAUUGAAUGUUUCAAUUUUUAUUCAAUAUUUGCCUAAAUUCUAAUUUGGCCUCUAAACCAAGACUAAUUUUUAUUCUUCACAAUUAAAUAUACAUUUCAUACAAUUUCCACUUUAAACUAGAUUUAAACCCUUAUUUUCAACUAAAUCCCUAUAUUUUAAAUUUUUCACAAUUUAGUCCCUAUUACUCAAAAUUUACAAUUCAUUCUACAAUUUAAUCCUUUUCAUUUAUAACUUAAAAAUCUAUCAAUUUAAUCCCUAAUACUAAAAUUAUUCAACAUUAACAACAGUUAAAAAAUUAAUAAUUGCUAAAAUUUUGACAUAGGUCUAGUAGUACUUAGCACUGGGAUUACAAAAACAUAAAGAUUACAAGAAAAGGGACUAAAUUGACUAAACAAUUAAACUUAGAACUUUGAAACCCUAAGCCGUGGGUUCUUCUUUCUUUCUGUAAUAUAUAUUUACUUUGGUCUUUCUUUAUUUCUUUUAUUACUAUAAUAUAUAUUUACUUAAAUAUUAAGUAAAAUAUAUUAUAAUAUAUAGUUUAACUUUAAUUUAUUAAUAAUAUAUGCUGCUGCCUCUGUCGCGUCAACAGUGCAAGUGGCGCACUUGCCUCUGCCACUGACCCACCACCGCUAUUGCCUUGCCAUUGAGUACCUGCAAACAAUUAAAAGGAAGCGACAACACCAAUAAUAGGAUAAUGUAUAAAAGUUGAAGCAAAAAAUGUAAAAGGGGUCUUUUUUUUGUUUUCAAAAAAAGAAACAAACACAAACACUCUAAAAAAAAUAAAAGCAAAAACAAAUUCAAGGUGAUUCCAUUUUUUCUUUUGGCAUAAGAUCUAUUUUUUUAUUUUUUUCUUUCGAUUUUUUUUCUUUUUUACGCACGUAUAAUCGAAAAUAAAUACAAGAAGGAGAGAUCUUACCUGAAGCGGUUCUAGGCCUUGAAUCGGGUUCUGAGAGGCCGGAUAGGCUGAAAGGCCUUUCUCUAGAACUCCGGCCACUACACUAGGUGGCAGACGGCAGAGACCAUGGCCGGAAACCCUAGGCCAAAUGGGGUUUGAGAGAGAGUUCUCUCAUUUUUUAGAAGCUGGUAAAAAAUGAAAUUUUAGGGUUUAUUUUGGCUUUUAUAGGCACUUGAAACGGUGCCGUUUUGGCCCGACUCUUUAGCCCCCAAAACGACGUCGUUUCACCCUAGGAUCUGCGCGUCGACCCGACCUGACCAGAGGAUCUGUGCGUUUUGAGAGUUGGGUUAUUUAUUGUUUUAGCCCCUCCCUUUUUUCGAUAUUUUGCAAUCGAGUUUCUUUGGUCUUUUUCAAUUGCACCCCACAAUUUGUUGCGCUUUCAAUUUGGCCCUUAUCUGAACGUUGUCAUUUGGAAAAAAGGGGAAAAUUAUUUUUUUAAUCCCUCCUCGUUACCCGCGUGUUCAGUUUGGUCCUUCUCCUUUAAUUCAUUUGCGAUUUGACCCCGAAUUUUACUUUUAAAUUCAACUUAGUCCUCUGCUUGGAUUACAUUAUUAUUACUAUUAUAUAUUCGUCUAUGUCCUUUUAAUUUUGUUAUAUAUAUAUAUACAUAUAUACAUACAUACAUACAUACAUUAUGUUAUAUAUAUACAUACAUACAUACAUUUUUUAUAAUAUAUAUACGUACAUAAUUUUUUAAUUUAUUUGUACAUAUAUAUACAUACUUAUAUAUUAUUUGUACUUUAUAUAUGUACAUAUUUAUACACAUACAUACAUACGUUUUUAUAAUACAUGUAUAUACAUGCAUGUAUAUUUUAUAACUCAUAUAUGUACAUAGAUAUAUAUGUCUUCUACAUUUUAUAAUUUCAAAAUAUAUAUAUACAUACUUACAUAUAUUUUUAUAUUUAAUAAUUUUUAAAAUAUGUAUACGUACAUAGAUUUCUCACAUUUACGUAGUUUUAUAUACGUUCACGUAUAUACAUCUUUUACAUUUUUAUAAUUUUUAUAAUUUUAUUUAUUUAUUUAUUUAUUUACACUUUUCAUUAUUGUUUUAAAAGAAUGUUUCACUUUUAUUGGCUUAUAUACUUGUUAUUUUGUAUGCUAUUGGUUUGUCCCUUUAUUUAUCUUAUUUUCGUUAAUAUCGCUCGUAUUAUUUUUACACCAUCGUAUUUAUUAUUGUUUUGUUAUGCAUAUCCACAAUGUAAUAUGUUUUCGCGUUUUUAUUACAAUGUCGUGUUUCAUUUUACUCAAUAUAUCAAAAUUUGUUUUAAAUAAAUAGCAUUUCGUUUUUUGAGAUUCGAAAAAAUCGUACCCUAACUUGCGGGGUUUGUGAUUUUCUCGAUAAAUCCAAAUACACGAAUCAUUUUAAACAAAGUUUUUAAAUGUUCUCGGGAAUUAACAAAAGAUCUUGUUCUAACUCACGGGGCAUGAUCUCUUUCCUAAACCUGAGAUAAUCAAAUAUCUUUCAAAAUAAGUAAUUUUUUUUGGCAUUUAUUCUCGUAUCGAGAAUUCGAAACAUUGUGUCCUAACUUACGAGACGUAAUUCUUCUUCUCGAUUAACGUGAAAUAUGUCCACUUCUCGAAAAUUUUUUAGCAUUUCAACAAAGGAUCAUGUUUCGAAUCUUUUCAAAUUUUCAAUCUUCGACACUAAGACAUUAAUUAGUCAACUUGGUACCAAUUUUUGGACGUUACGAGGGUGCUAACCCUUCCUCGUACGUAACCGACUCCCGAACCAUUUUUUUGAAUUUCGUGGACCAAAAUCUUUGUUUUAAUAAAACCAAGUCGUUUAUUAAAAACAACCACUUUUCGAGGUGACCCGAGCACACCUCAUUAAAAAAGAUUGGCGGCGACUCCCAUGUUCGUUUUUCAUUUUUAAAAUCCAAGGUGACCCCGUUUUCAAAAAAAAUGGUGUCAACAAUAUAUAAUAAUUUUACACCUUAUGUCACCUCAUUAAAGAACAAUGGUAUAAUUGUUUUUUAGUCCCUUUAAUUAUUUUUUAGUCUAUAAUUCAACUUUUACCCUAUAUGCAAUUUAGUCCUUAUACUUAAUUACUCCUAAUUCAUGCAAAUUCACUUAACCAAAACCCAAUUAACUACACAACUAACUUCAAAAAUAUUUUUAAUAAAUAUUUAUGAGUCCGAAUUAUGAAAAUGGAGUCCCAGAAAUGCACUUUCUAACACCCCUGACUAUCGGGUCAUUACAAUUCUCCCCCUAAUUAAAUGUCGUCCCCAAAAUUUACCUGAAAAGAGGUGGGGAUAAUGAGAUCUCAUAGUCUCUUCCGGUUCCUAAGUCACUUCUUCAACACUAUGACUAUGCCAUAACACUUUCACUAACGGAACUCGCAUAUUACGCAAUUCUUUCACCUCACGUACCAAAAUCUCAAUCGGUUCUUCUUCGUAUAACAAAUCAGGUUGAAUUUCAAUAUCUUCUGUCGAACUAACAUGAGAUGGACCUGAUCGAUAUCUUCUAAGCAUUGAAAUUUGAAAAACAUCAUGAUUGUAGUUCCGCAGGCAAAGCUAAACAAUACGCAACUGGUCCCACUCUUUUUGUGAUCUCAUACGGUCCAAUAAAAUGAGGACUUAGUUUUCCUUUUCGAGCAAAUCUCAAAAUUUUCUUCCAAGGCGAAACUUUAAGAAAUACUUUAUCGCCAACAUAAUAUUCAAUAUCUUGACGUUUCAAAUCUGCAUAUGAUUUAUGUCUAUUAAAAGAUGUUUUCAAUCUAUCUCGAAUUUUCUUAACAAUGUCUUUGGUUUCUUGAAUUAAUUUCGACCCGAUCAUUCUUCUUUCACUUAAUUCCAUCUAAUAAAUAGGUGAUCAACACCUACGACCAUAAAAGCUUUCAUACAGAGCCAUUUGAAUACUCGAUUGAAAACUAUUAUUGUAUACAAAUUCAGCCAAAGGUAAGUAGCGUUCCCAACCUGAUUCAAAUUCAGUAACACAAGUACGAAUCAUAUCUUCCAAAAUCUGAAUAACACGCUCAGAUUGUGCGUCAGUCUGCGGGUGAAAACUUGUACUAAAAUUAAGUCGCAUACUAAGAGAUUCAUGUAAUUAUUUCCAAAAUAUUGAAGUGAACUACGGAUCUCGAUUAGAAAUUAUCGACAUCAGGACACGGUGCAAUCUUACUACUUCUUGAAUAUAAACGUCAACAAGCUUUUGAAGUGACCAAUCUAUCCUGUCUGCAAUGAAAUGAGCCUAUUUCGUAAGUCGAUCAACAAUUACCCAUACAAUAUUUUUCUUACUUACUGAUAAAGGUAACCCUAUUAAAAAAUCCGGUGGGAACCUAAUGUUUUGCCUUAACUCGUUGACAAGUUAGACAUUUAGCCACAUACUCGACCACAUUCCCGUAGAUCCCGAUACAUUUUCAUUCCUCCAGGAUGCAAAGCAAAAGGACUAUCAUGAGCUUCGCAAAGUAUCAACUCUUUUAAUUCAGAAACAUUCGGAACGCAAAUUCAGUUAUGAAAUCUCAAGCAACCACAAUUAUCAAUGCUAAAUUUUUUUUAAUAUACCAUUCUGAACCAUUUCUCUUUUCGUUGCCAACUUGCCAUCUUCUAAAUGCGCUAACUUGAUCCGAUCAAACGUCACCAGUUUGAUUUUUAGUUCAGCCAAUAGGCUUCAAUCGUCAUUGAUAUUGAGUUGAGUAAACAUUGGUCGAAAUUCAUUUGUUGUUUUCCUACUCAAUGCAUCAACUACAACAUUAGCUUUACCAGGGUGGUAAUCAAUAACACAAUCAAAAUCUUUCAAAAGCUCUUCCCAAUAACGCUGUUUCAAAUUUAACUUCUUUUGAGAUAGAAGGUAUUUGAGAUUCUUAUUAUCGGUAUAAAUAUAACAUUUUGUGCUCUACAGAUAGUGUCUCCAGACCUUUAGAGAAAAACCCACAUCAACUAACUCUAAAUCAUGCGUCGGAUAAUUGCGCAUAUGCAUUUUUAGCUGAUGAGAUGUAUAAGCAAUCACUUUCUCAUCUUGCAUCAAAACACAACCAAGACUGAUUAAGGAAGCAUCACUAUAAACGACAAAAUCCUUUCCCAAUUCUAGUAAAGUUAAAAUCGACGCUUCAGUCGACAUCUGCUUCAAUUUCUCAAAACUUUCUUGACAUUGAUUGUCCCAAAUGAACUGAAGAUUUUUAUGUAACAACUUUGUCGUUGGCAAGGCUAUCUUCAAAAAUCCAUUUACAAAUCUUCGGUAAUAACCAACUAAUCAAAGAAAACAACGAACCUUUGACACAUUCUUCUGUGCUUUUCACUGAAUAAUUGCCUCUACCUUUUUCGAAUCAACUCUAAUUCCACCUAUUGAGAUAACAUGACCUAAAAAUACAACCUCUGAUAACUAGAAUUCACACUUAUAAAGUUUUUCGUAUAACAGUUUCGCUCGUAACACUUGCAAAACAAUUCUGAGAUGUUCUCAUGCUAGGAUUCAGAUUCCAAAUAGACCAAAAUAUCAUCAACAAAAAAUACCACAAAAUGAUCCAAAUACUGUUGGAAAAUACGGUUCAUGAGAUCCAUGAAUACUGUCGGAGCAUUCGUCAAUCCAAAAUGCAUCACUUAAAAUUCAUAAUGACCAUAUCGUGUACGAAAUGUCGUCUUCGGUACAUCACUUUCUUUCACUUUCAACUGAUAGUAACCCAAUCUCAAAUCGAUCUUUAAAAAGACAGAAGCUCCUUUUAGUUGAUCAAAUAAGUCAUCAAUAUGGGUAGAGGAUAUCGAUUCUUUAUUGUCAACUUAUUCAAUUGCCGAUAGUCAAUACAAAGCAUCGAACCAUCUUUCUUUUUAACAAAAAAGUACUAGACCUCCCCAAGGCGAUAUAUUAGGGCAUACAAAACCACGAUCCAAUAAGUCUUGCAAUUGUACUUUUAAUUCUUUUAACUCUGUAUAUAACAUACGACAGGGGACAUUGACACUAGAGCCGUACCAGAAAACAUUUCAAUUGCAAACUCAACCUCUCAAUCUGGUAGUAAUCCCGGUAAUUCCUCGGGAAACACAUCAGGGAAUUUCCAAACAGUUCAAAUUUUACUGCACUAGCUAUUAACAGAAUUUGAAUUGAUAACAUAUGUUAGAAAGGUUUCACAACAUUGAUUAAAAAGUUUAUUAGCUCAAAUUUCUGAAAUGAUACGAGUUGAACCACUUGUUCGAAUACCAUUCACUUCAAUCAUAUCACCGCUUUCACUCUGAACAAUAAACUUUUUUUUACAGCAAUCCAAAAUUACCCCAUGCUCCAUAAGCCAAUCCAUACUCAAAAUUAUCAAUAAAUCAACAGGGAAGGUUAUAUUUUGUAUCACUAACGAACAUCUCCUACACACCUAAUCCACUAACACAGAUUUUUCCAAUGUACUAGACACCACUGUCGAUACUCUAGACGUCUUAGAUUUUAAACUUCCUGACUCAACCAAUUUAGUAUUAACAUAUGAAUGCGAAGAUCUCGGAUCUAUCAAAGCAUAAACAUGUUUUGAAUGUAAUAAAAAUAUACCUGUCACAAUAUCAUUAGCAUCACCAUCCUUACGAGUCCACACAACAUAAGCUCGAGCUAGCGUUCUAGCCUCCGACUGUUGAGUAACAGCAUCAUUUCCCUUUCUAGCACCACCUCUCGAAAAUGAACCACUUCGACUCGACCCGCGACCCUUAGAAGCAAACAUAGAUCUCGGAGAAGUAAUAGGUGUAGCAUUUUCAUUCUUUAGACACUCUCUAACAAAAUGUUCCGUAGAUCCACAGUGAAAAAAACCUAAAAUUAACUUCCAGCAUUCACCACAGUGCUUUUUCCCACAAUGCUCACAAUUCGGAAAAUCAGUAACUCUGGAUAGACCUCACACACUACCCGUAGACACAGCCGAUUGUCUAUCACAAUUGUUUAUCAGUUCUAUCUGACUUAAAAUUUGAUCUCCUGCUACCACGAAAUUCUUUUGAUCUCUUCGAUUGUGGAUUUGAACUUGCAACUCCAGGAUGCUUUCCAAUAGUACGAUUAUUCUCAGUCUUUUUGUCAAAACCUAGGACUUUCUCUACCAUUCUUGCCCGUUCAACUAAAUCUACAAACUCAGUAAUUCUAUGCGAUACUAACUGUACUCACAACUCAUCGCGUAAAUGUUUAACUUGCCAGCGAGUUAAGGUAGAACAUUAGGUUCCCAUCGGAAUACUUCAGCCUAUUUCUAUUCCUGAAUGGAAAUGAGGUUUUAUCACAAUAGAUUUUGUAACGGGGUUACCUUUAUCGACAAGUAAGAAAAAUGUUGUAUGAGUGAUUGUUGAUCGACUUACGAAAUCUGUUCAUUUCAUUGCAAAUAGGACAGACCGGUCACUUCAAAAGCUUGCUGAAGUUUAUAUUCAAGAAAUAGUAAGAUUACACCGUGUUCCUAUGUCGAUAAUUUUUUAUCGAGAUUCAUUUUUCAUUUCAAGAAUUUGAAAACAGUUACACGAAUCUCUUGGCACGGGACUUAAUUUUAGAACAGCUUUUCACCCGCAAACUGACGGACAAUUUGAGCGUGUUAUUCAGAUUUUGGAAGACAUGCUUCUACUUGUCUUAUUAAUUUUUAAUCAGGUUGGGAGCGUUACUUACCUUUGGCAAAAUUUUUAUACAAUAAUAAUUUUCAAUCGAGUAUUCAAAUAGCUCCGUAUGAAGCCUUAUAUGGUCGUAGGUGUCUGCCGAAACCACUUUUCAAGUUUGAAAAAAACGGGGAUCGACUUUUGAAAAUAAAAUGGGAGUCACCACUGAUCUUUUUUAAGGUGUGAUCGGUUCACCAUUGAAAAUAAAUUUUAGGUCUGCGAGAUUUGAGAAAAUAGGUCCGGGAGUCGGUUAUCCACGAGGAAAGGUUAACAUCCUCGUAACGCCCAAAAUUGGUACCGAAUCGAUUGUUAAUGUCUUAAUGUCGAAAUUUUGAAAAGAUUUCAGAAUAAGAUCCUUUUAUUUUGAAUAAAAUGAAUUGGAAGAUAAAGCUCAUUUAUUUUAAAGAAAUAGAUUGUCAUACUCAGUAAGUUAGAGUGCAACAUUUCGAAUCCUCAAAAUUAAGUUUGACUUUUAAAACCUAUGCACUUUGAGAAGGAUAUUUGAUUAUUUGGGUCAAAUGAGAAAAUCAAACCCAGUAAGUUAGGAUUCGAUUUCACAAAAUUCCUAAAUAUCAAACAUUGGCUUUAUUUUUAUUCGCUGGAAAAAUCCUCGUCUCGAGAAAACAAUGUGUCAUAUCCAAUGCGUUAGGACACCACGUAUCAAAUUCUCGGGAAUGAGGCUUUUAUGUUUUGAUUAAAGCAUAUUCUCGAUUAUUUAGAUUCGACGAAGAGAAUUGGAACCCAAUGCGUUAGGGCUCAAUUUUCGAAGAUUCCAAAUGUCGAGUAUUUGCUUUAUUUUGAAAGUUUUUUUUUGAAUAAAACGAUUUUGAUGCUUAAACGGUAUUAGACAUAAUCUUUUGAACGAAAAAAAAUGAUUGAAUAAUAAUGUACAACACAAAAAGAUAACUCAUAAUCCUAAAAAGCAUGCUAAUGAACUCGUGUAAUCUAUCAACAUAAACGAAAUGAUAUAAUGUACAUAACCUCCAUAAUCACAUAUCUCAAACCAUGCAAACAUAAUUACCAACAUUAAAAAACAUAACAUUGACAAUUAAUCCUUAAGUACCAAAAAACAAGAGCAUAAAUGAUAAUCAAUAAAUUACGAACAUCGAAAUUUAAAAGAAAUAUGUAUAUGAACUUGUAUUAGAUUCCAAAUAGAGUUAAUGAAACAUACUCUAUAUAAGUAAUAGUUUUAAGGUCUACAAAAAUAAUGUAUGUGUAUAUAAAAAUGAAUUCGAAAGAAAAUAUAUAAGAAAAUCUAAAGGGGAAAAUUAAAGGUAAUAACUAGAAUAGUAUGAGAUCAAUGAUAUAUAUAAUAAAAAUAAUUUAAUAUAAAUUGUAUACAUGAAAAUAUAAAAAUAUUAAAUAAGGAUACUAUCAUAUAAAUCUUUGAAGAUGAAAUGUAUAAAAGUGGCCUUUUUUAGAAUACAUUAUAAGAUAGAAGUUAUUAAAAUAUAUUGUAUUGGAUUAAACAAUGAAAUAAUUCAUCACCAACUUAAAAUAAUAAUGUAUGAUAAUAAAAUAAAGAAUUUAAAAAAAUAGUGCAUAACAAAGUGAUAUAUAUAUAAAAAUUAAGUAACCGAAAAUGUAACUAAGUAUGAUAAUAAUGUUAAUAACAAUAACAAUAACAAAUAAUAAUAAUAAUAAAUUAGUAUUAAACUAAUUAAUAAAAAAAUGGACUAAUUUGGAAUUAAAACAGAAAUCUAGGAAUAAAUCUGAAAUAAAUAAAAAAGAAAGGACUAAAUUGAAGCGCGCGAAUAACACGAGGGAUCAAAAGGGGAAAUAAUCCCAACACCUCGAAACGCAGCACUAUGAGAAGGACUAGAGUGAAACAACAAUGAAAUAUGCGGGGCAAAUUUAAAAAAUAAAUGAAAAUCAGAUUAAAACACUGAAACAAAACUAGAGGAUCGAUGGCACAAAUAUUCCCUCCAAGACCAAAGCAUGCGGGUCUGGCCACGUCCGGAUCGGGUCAUUAGGUACGGGCCAAUACGGUGCCGUUUUGAGGCCACUAAAGCAGGCCUUAAACGGAAUCGUUUGUCACACAAUAAAUAUCCUACUUUAACCCUAGAAUCAGCAGUGAACAGCCUUAAACAGAUUUUAAAAAAAACUAAACAUUUCUCCCCCAUUCCGAAAUCGCGCAGCUCAAAAAAAAUUGGCCCAGAGGCCUUUGAACCGUCAUCCGACUCCGAUUGCGACGGAGCAAACAAAGAUCUGGCCAAACAGGUAAAACCCCUCGCCCUCUCACCUUAUUUUCACUCGAUUAAUAGAAUAGAAAAUGAAAAGUCUAGAGAAAAAAAACGGAAGAAAGAAAGAAAGGGAAUCAAGUCACCUUUCGAAAAACUCUCUGUUCUUCUCUUUUUUCUUUUUUUUUUGUAUAUUGAUAUUCUGUAAAAAAAAGGGUCCUUUUACAUUGUUUUUCUCCCUUUUUAUAGCCGGAGAUAAAAUGAAAAUACAAAUACAAUCAUCAUAAAAAUUCUAAUUUAUUUUUGCUAUUACUUUUUUUUCUAUUGCCUAUUUUCUUUGCUGUGUUUUCUGUUAUUGUUGCGUUCGUUGUCGUUUGCUUGUUUUACAGGUAUCGUACGAGGACGUCACACAGCUCGGCACGGCGUAUGGACGGAGGUGUGCGGGCGUGCGCGUACGGAGGCUCGUGCGUGAGGAGCGGCUUGGCAACGACGGCUUAGUUUGCUGCCUAGGGUUUCUGAUUUCCCCAUGUUAGGCUAAUUUGGGCUUGUAUUUUUUAUUUGGGCCUGGGCUGGUAAUUUGGGGCUGGGGUUAAUGGGUUUAGUUUACUGGGCCUUGUAACUAGACUAUUUUGGACUGUUAUUAAUUUGUUUGGUUUAUAUUUUUAUUACGGGACGGGCAAAUUGGGUUAUUACAGUGUCGAUCACGUGUUUGUUGGAUAGAAUUGAGUGAAAGAAGAAUGAUCGGGUCGGAAUUAAUUCAAGAAACAGAAGACAACUUUUGAUAGACAUAAAUCAUAUGCAGAUUUGAAACAUUGAGAUUUUGAGAUUUGGUCGAAAAAGGAAACUGAGUCCUCGUUUAUUGGACCGUAUGAGAUCACAGAAAGAGUGGAACCAGUUGUGUAUCAUUCAGCUUUGCCUGCGGAACUACAAAAAAUUCAUGAUUUUUUUUACGUUUCAAUACCUAGAAGAUAUCGAGCAGAUCCAUUUCAUGUUAUUUCGACAGAACAUAUUAAAAUUCAACCUAGUUUGUCAUACUAAGAAGAACCGAUUGGGAUUUUGGCACGUGAGGUGAAAGAAUUACGUAAUAAGCGAGUUCUGUUAAUGAAAGUGUUUUGGCGUAGUCAUAGUGUUGAAGAAGCGACUUGGGAAUCGGAAGAGACUAUGAGAUCUGAGUACCCCCACCUCUUUUCAGGUAAAUUUCGGGGAUAAAAUUUAAUUAGGGGGAGAAUUGUAACAACUCGAUAGUUAGGGUUGUCGAAAAAUACAAUUUUGGGACACUAUUUUCGUAAAUCAAACUCGUAAAAAUUUAUUAAAAAUAUUUUCGAAGUUAGUUGUGUAGUUAAUUAGGUUUUAGUUAAGUGAAUUUGCAUGAAUUAAGAGUAAUUAUGUAUAAGGACUAAAUUGCAUAUAGGGUGAAAGUUGAAUUAUAAAUUAAAGAAUAAUUAAAGGGACUAAAAAGUAAUUAUGCCAUUGUUCUUUAAAAUAACAACGUUCAGACAUGAGCCUGUUUCACAAAGGAAAUUUCUAUCAUUUUUAGGCUAAAAACAACAAAAAUAUUCUGAACAUUACUUUAAAAAAGCUCUAGAGACUAUAGGGUUUUCUUCCGCAGUCGAAUUACUUAGAACACUUCCACGUUUAUAAGGGCGGGUAUCUAACAAGGUCCAUUCUUCAGUUGCUUGUGCAUUGCAUUCACUCCACUUAUCAAUUAUGAUUGGGUAACGGAUUUUCCGCACUAGAGGAAUCAUCAAAUUUAACGACGCCCAUACUGAUAAGCCUUUCAAUCAAUUUUUUAAAGGCAAUGCAAUUUUCUAUGGAGUGCCCCGCAUUUCUGGCAUGAUAGUCGCAUUGUGCAUUCGCAUCGUGCCAUUUGGGGUACGGAGACUCUGGAGGUUUCGUGUAGAGAGGGGCAACAAUGCGCGCGUUGAAUAAGCUUUGAUACAGCUCCUUAUACGACAUCGGAAUUGGCGUGAACUGGAGGUUCUCAGUGCCUUGUUUCACAUAAGGUUUUUGUCUUGAUGAACCUUGUUGACUAGCGACCCCUUUACCUAGAUGACUUACUGACCUUGAGUAACCUGUGUUGUUCACCUUAUUUUCUCUUUUCCUUGGGGUUGACCUUUUAUCACUCUCUUUCGCCUCAAUUUUUCAAGCUCUUAUAGCAUUCUCAAUCAUUUCACCUUUCAUAUUAUGUUAGAAAAGUUUUUUUUGCGCUUCCUAACAUAUGCGUAAUGAACGGGGCCUUCAGCGUAUUGAUGAAGAGCAUUGUCGUCUCUUUCUCCAAGAGGGGUGGCUGAACUAGGACUGCAACCUCCCUCCACCUUUGUGCAUACUGCCUAAAACUUUCGCUCGAUUUCUUUUCCAAAUUUUGCAAGGUGAUUCUAUCGGGAACCACAUGCGUUACAUAACCGUAUUGUUUCAUGAAUGCAUGUGCUAGGUCCCUUCAUGAACCAAUCUCGUUACGGCUCAACUGAUUGUACCAUUUGGACGCUGCCCCUACCAAACUGUCUUGGAAGCAGUGUAUUAGCAGCUGAUCAUUGUUAGUGUAGCCAGUCAUUCUUCUACAGAACAUGGUGAUAUGGGCUUCGGGACAGCUAGUUCCAUUUUAUUGUUCAAAUUCAGGCAUCUUAAACUUGUAAGGGAGUACUAAAUCUGAAACCAAGCUCAGAUCUUUUGCAUCGAUUCCAUGGUGACUGUCGGCGUUUUCCAAGGCUUUCAAUUUUUCCUCCAACCAUUUACACCUAUCCUCCCAUUGUUUUGACAAUUCGACGUUUGCCUUCUCUUUUUCAACCAUUUCAUCGAAAUCAGGAAUAACAAGAUUCACUGGGUUAUCUCUAGGAUUAAAACCUGAUCCAGCCUCAGUCUGAAUCUGCGCAUGCAGAGGCAUAAAGCCUAGAGGAUAGAUAGGUCUAUCAUUGUCUUCUCCUUCAUCAUUAACCAUAGGAUAUUUCCCCUUAUUAAUUCCUUUUAGUAUUGCGUCAGCUCAGUCAUCACGUCAUUUUGAGACUCCCGCAUCCUUUCUCUCAUGUCCUGUUGAAUUUUUUCCAAUUGCUCCUUCAUUUGUUUCUGUAGCUGAUCUUGCAUUUCUUUUUGCAUUUGCUCCAAUUUCUCUAAUCUUUGGUCCAUUUCCUUACUCUUUCGACGAGUACCGUAUUGAUGCUUAAUGGGUGAGCUUUUGUCGGUUUCCAGAUUAGGUGAAAUAAAUUUACUCAAUCAGACUCUUUCAAUGGACUUUGAUGCAUACGAUGCAGAUGUAUGAAAUGCAUGCCUAAAGAGACGUUGAUUCUGAUUCAAUUACAUUUAGGAAACUUUUCUAGAAAGUAAAUUCCUUUACAUAAAACAGAUACAUGUACGGCCUCACCCUCAUAUUCUAAGAAACAACAUCGAUAUUUUUCUUCAUCCGCAUGUUGGAGAUAAUCUCGCCAAUUUCUAAUAGAUGCCACUCCUAGCUCUUUGUCUCGAUCUUGGUCGCGAUCCAUCACCUACCCAUCUUCAUAAGGCUCGUCAGCUUCUUUAAGGGAGUUUGAACGUCGAAGGCUCUUAGACAAUCGCCUUGAAUCCUCAGGCCACGAAGUAAGGUCACGAACUCUUCCAUGUGUUUUUCAGAAUAUAUUAAGGUAGCCGCAUUAUUUUCCACUUUAUCAAGGAAUCCGUAUUCCAUGACAAGCUUUCUAAUUUAGUAAUUGGACUUGAAUCAAUAUCUCUUUCCUAAGAUGCAAAUGCAAUGCAAUCACAAUCAAAACACAACAAAAGGGGUUAGUACAAAACAGAAGUAAACAAGGAAAACAGAAAGUACCUAAUCAGGUAACCACUAGGGAUUUGGAGUGGCUUUACCUAGGUUAAGUUCCUAAGUCCACUAUAUGAGGUUUGGUUCUAAAGUCAAGGUACCCGAACCAGCAGAUUCCUCAAUCCUCACCCAUUAUAGGCUCAUACACACCGAGUUCGAUUCAGGGAAAUACAUUUCCCUAUGGCUGCACGAAGAUGAAAAUCUCACGAAGACGAAAAUCUCACGAAGACAUAGGUACGGAUGUAUUCCGAAAGUGAUUUACUAUCCUGCACGGAGGUGAAAACCUCACGAAGGAGUAGCUUCUCACUUCCACUUAGAGGGGUAAGACCAAAAUAGCCUUUAUGCAAUAUGAUGCCAAAGUAUAAAACACAAUUUACAAUAAACCUACAAACACAUGCAAAGAGAGGAUCGUAAUUUUUCAAAUCGACUUUUCAAUUUUCGAUAAUAAGAUAGAAAACAAUCAAUUUACGGCUUGACUCUAUAUACUCCCCAGUGGAGUUACCAAGCUGUCGAAACCACUUUUCAAGUUUGAAAAAAAUGGGGAUCGGCUUUUGAAAAUAAAAUAGGAGUCACCACCGAUCUUUUUUAAAGUGUGAUCGGUUCACCAUUAAAAAUAAAUUUUAGGUCUGCGAGAUUUGAGAAAAUAGGUCCGGGAGUCGGUUACGCACGAGGAAGGGUUAGCACCCUCGUAACGCCCAAAAUUGGUACCGAAUCGAUUGUUAAUGCCUUAAUGUCAAAAUUUUGAAAAGAUUUUAAAAUACGAUCCUUUUAUUUUGAAUAAAAUGAAUUGGAGGAUAAAGCUCAUUUAUUUUAAAGAAAUAGAUUGUCAUACUCAGUAAGUUAAGUGCAACAUUUCGAAUCCUCAAAAUUAAGUUUGACUUUUAAAACCUAUGCACUUUGAGAAGGAUAUUUGAUUAUUUGGGUCAAAUGAGAAAAUCAAACCCAGUAAGUUAGGAUUCGAUUUCACAAAAUUCUUAAAUAUCGAACAUUGCCUUUAUUUUCAUUCGCUGGAAAAAUCCUCGUCUCGAGAAAAUAAUGUGUCAUAUCCAAUGCGUUAGGACACCACGUAUCGAAUUCUCGGGAAUGAGCCUUUUAUGUUUUGAUUAAAGCAUAUUCUCGAUUAUUUAGAUUCGACGAAGAGAAUUGGAACCCAAUAUGUUAGGGCUCAAUUCUCGCAGAUUCCAAAUGUCGAGUAUUUGCUUUAUUUUGAAAGUUUUUUUUGAAUAAAACGAUUUUGAUGUUUAAACGAUAUUAGACGUAAUCUUUUGAACGAAAAAAAAUGAUUGAAUAAUAAUGUACAACACGAAAAGAUAACUCAUAAUCCUAAAAAGCAUGCUAAUGAACUCGUGUAAUCUAUCAACAUAAACGAAAUGAUAUAAUGUACAUAACCUCCAUAAUCACAUAUCUCAAACCAUGCAAACAUAAUUACCAACAUUAAAAAACAUAACAUUGACAAUUAAUCCUUAAGUACCAAAAAACAAGAGGAUAAAUGAUAAUCAAUAAAUUACGAACAUCGAAAUUUAAAAGAAAUAUGUAUAUGAACUUGUAUUAGAUUCCAAAUAGAGUUAAUAAAACAUACUCUAUAUAAGUAAUAGUUUUAAGGUCUACAAAAAUAAUGUAUGUGUAUAUAAAAAUGAAUUCGAAAGAAAAUAUAUAAGAAAAUCUAAAGGGGAAAAUUAAAGGUAAUAACUAGAAUAGUAUGAAAUCAAUGAUAUAUAUAUAAUAAAAAUAAUUUAAUAUAAAUUGUAUACAUGAAAAUAUAAAAAUAUUAAAUAAGGAUACUAUCAUAUAAAUCUUUGAAGAUGAAAUGUAUAAAAGUGGCCUUUUUAAAAAUACAUUAUAAGAUAGAAGUUAUUAAAAUAUAUUGUAUUGGAUUAAACAAUGAAAUAAUUCAUCACCAACUUUAAAUAAUAAUGUAUGAUAAUAAAAUAAAGAAUUUAAAAAAACAUCGCAUAAUAAAGUGAUAUAUAUAAAAAUUAAGUAACCGAAAAUGUAACUAAGUAUGAUAAUAAUGUUAAUAACAAUAACAAAUAAUAAUAAAAAAUUAGUAUUAAACUAAUUAAUAAAAAAAUGGACUAAUUUGGAAUUAAAACAGAAAUCUAGGAAUAAAUCUGAAAUAAAUAAAAAAGAAAGGACUAAACUGAAGCGCGCGAAUAACACGCGGGAUCAAAAGGGGAAAUAAUCCCAACACCUCGAAACGCAGCACUAUGAGAAAGACUAGAGUGAAACAACAAUGAAAUAUGCGGGGAAAAUUUAAAAAAUAAAGGAAAAUCGGAUUAAAACACUGAAACAAAACCGGAGGUCCGAUGGCACAAAUAUUCCCUCCAAGACCAAAGCAUGUGGGUCUGGCCACGUCCGGAUCGGGUCAUCAGGCACGAGCCAAUACGGCGUCGUUUUGAGGCCACUGAAGCAGGCCUUAAACGGCGUCGUUUUUCACACAAUAAAUAUCCUACUUUAACCCUAAAAUCAGCAGUGAACAGCCUUAAACAGAUUAAAAAAACUAAACGUUUCUCCCCCCAUUCCGAAAUCGCGCCGCUCAAAAAAAAUUGGCCCAGAGGCCUUUGAACCGUCGUCCGACUCCGAUUGCGAUGGAGCAGACGAAGAUCUGGCCAAACAGGUAAAACCCCUCGCCCUCUCACCUUAUUUUCACUCGAUUAAUAGAACAGAAAAUGAAAAGUCUAGAGAAAAAAAAAACGGAAGAAAGAAAGAAAGGGAAUCAAGUCACCUUUCAAAAAACUCUUUGUUCUUCUCUUUUUUCUUUUUUUUUUUGUACAUUGAUAUUCUGUAAUAAAAAAAAGGGUCCUUUUACAUUGUUUUUCUCCCUUUUUAUAGCCAGAGGUAAAAUGAAAAUACAAAUACAAUCAUCAUAAAAAUUCUAAUUUAUUUUUGCUAUUACUUUUUUUUCUAUUGCCUAUUUUCUUUGCUGUGUUUUCUGUUAUUGUUGCGUUCGUUGUCGUCUGCUUGUUUUGCAGGUAUCGUACGAGGACGUCGCACGGCUCGGCGCGGCGUAUGGACGGAGGUGUGCGGGCGUGCGUGUACGGAGGCUCGUGCGUGAGGAGCAGCUUGGCAACGGCAGCUUAGUUUGCUGCCCAGGGUUUCAGAUUUCCCCAUGUUAGGCUAAUUUGGGCUUGUAUUUUUUAUUUGGGCCUGGGCUGGUAAUUUGGGGCUGGGGUUAAUGGGUUUAGUUUACUGGGCCUUGUAACUAGACUAUCUUGGACUGUUAUUAAUUUGUUUUGUUUAUAUUUUUAUUAUGGGCCAGGCAAAUUGGGUUAUUACAGUGUCGAUCACCUGUUUGUUGGAUAGAAUUGAGUGAAAGAAGAAUGAUCGGGUCGGAAUUAAUUCAAGAAACAGAAGACAACUUUUGAUAGACAUAAAUCAUAUACAGAUUUGAAACAUUGAGAUAUUGAAUAUUCUGUUGGCGAUAAAGUAUUUCUUCAAGUUUCGCCUUGGAAGAAAAUUUUGAGAUUUGGUCGAAAAAGGAAACUGAGUCCUCGUUUAUUGGACCGUAUGAGAUCACAGAAAGAGUGGGACCAGUUGUGUAUCAUUUAGCUUUGCCUGCGGAACUACAAAAAAUUCAUGAUGUUUUUUACGUUUCAAUACCUAGAAGAUAUCGAUCAGAUCCAUUUCAUGUUAUUUCGACAGAAGAUAUUAAAAUUCAACCUGGUUUGUCAUAUUAAGAAGAACCGAUUGAGAUUUUGGCACGUGAGGUGAAAGAAUUACGUAAUAAGCGAGUUCUGUUAAUGAAAGUGUUUUGGCGUAGUCAUAGUGUUGAAAAAGCGACUUGGGAACCGGAAGAGACUAUGAGAUCUGAGUACCCCCACCUCUUUUCAGGUAAAUUUCAGGGACAAAAUUUAAUUAGGGGGAGAAUUGUAACAACCCGAUAGUUUGGGUUGUCGAAAAGUACAAUUUUGGGACACUAUUUUCGUAAAUCGAACUCGUAAAAAUUUAUUAAAAAUAUUUUCGAAGUUAGUUGUGUAGUUAAUUAGGUUUUAGUUAAGUGAAUUUGCAUGAAUUAAGAGUAAUUAUGUAUAAGGACUAAAUUGCAUAUAGGGUGAAAGUUGAAUUAUAGAUUAAAGAAUAAUUAAAGGGACUAAAAAAGUAAUUAUGCCAUUGUUCUUUAAUGAGGCAGUAUAACGUGUAAAAUUAUUAUAUAUAUUAUGAAUAAAUUAAAGUUAAAAUAUAUAUUAUAAUAUGUUUUACUUAAUAUUUAAGUAAAUAUAUAUUAUAGUAAUAAAAGAAAUAAAGAAAGACAGAAGCAAAACGAAACAGAAAGAAAGAAAAAGAAAAAGAGAAAGAAAGAAUAACCCACGGCAUAAGGGUUUCAAAGGUCCAAGUUCAUUUGGUUAGUCAAUUUAGUCCUCUUUUCUUGUAAUCUUUAUGUUUUUAGAAUCCCGGUGUUAAGUACUACCCGACUCAUGUCAAAAUUUUAGCAAUUAUUGAGUUUUUAAAUGUUGUUAAUGUUGAAUAAUUUUUGUAUUAGGGAUUAAAUUGAUAGAUUUUUAAGUUAGAAAUGAAAAAAAGAUUAAAUUGUAGAAUGAAUUGUAAAUUUUGAGUAAUAGGGACUAAAUUGUAAAAAAUUAAAAAUUUAUGGAUUUAAGUGAAAAUAGGGAGUUAAAUUUAGUUUAAAGUGGAAAUUGUAUGAAAAUAUAAAAUUAAUUGUGAAGAAUAAAAGUUAGUCUCGGUUUAGGGACUAAAUUGGAAUUUAGAAAAAUAUUGAAUAAAAAUUGGAAUAUUCAAUAUGAAAUUGAAUUGUGUUGUAUUGAUGAAUUUUAAUUGUUUUAAUUUCAUAGAUAACGUCGUACCGGAAUCCUCAACUAAAAAGGGGAAAGAUAAAGUUGACGUGGAAUAGCUCGGAAUUCUUGGUUUGUAUUUCUAUAAUCCGAAACUAGUUAUUAAUUGUUGUAUUUUUUAUUUAAUGCAUAUGGUAAUUGUUGAGGUUAGUAUUUGGCACUUUGACAUUGAAUUGAAUUAAAAUUUGAUUGAAUUGGUGUAAUUGAUAUAUAUAUUAUGAAUAAAUUGAUUAUUUGAAUUGAAAUGAAUAUAUAUGUGCAAAUAUGAUAAUUGAAUAUUUGUUGUAUUUGGAAAGUGAAAUUAAACCCUAUUAACUAUAUGGGCUGCGUUGGAUAUAGAUGGCAUGCUAUAGGAUUGGAAGAGUUCAGGGAUUUCUUCAACUUCGAGUCAAUGAGGCACUGGAUGCCAAUUUACUUCGGUUUAACCGAUGAAACACUGGGUGUCAAAUUUAUAUAGCGCUGGGUGCAGUUAUUACUUCGGAUAUAUCUGAUGAGGCACUAGGUGCCAAACUGGUAUGUUGGUUGGAUCCGUGUAUCCGUCCGAGUCCAAGUCGUGUUAAUAGGGGUAAUUAAAUAAAAUAGUACUAUGAUUGAUAUUGGAUGAUAUUGUAUGUGAAUGAAAAUGGGAUAGUGAAUUGAAACAUGAAAAUGAGACACAUGAAUUACGUAUUCAUGAAUUGGAUAUGGAUUGAAUAAUAUUAUUGUUUAAAUGAUAUAUAUAUAUUAAAUUGUGAAAAGCUACUAUAUAGCAAGUGAUGAGAUUUGAGAAUGGUAUGAAAUGAUGUAUUUAUGAUUUGAAUAUUGAAUGGCUAAUGCAAUUGUAUGAAUAAAUAUGGUCUUAAAUAUUCAAAUGUGCUUAUAAUUAAAAUAUGCAUAUUAUAUUAUAUUGUCUUUAAAUAUUUGGAUUAUAGAAAUACCACUGAGUUUUACUCAGCGUACGGUUUUGUUUUCUUUGCGCAGAUUAGGUACUUCAAUUUUGAUUGCCGAUUCAGCAUCCAACAACGCUCCCGAACUCAAACGUGGUGAUGAUUACUCUUUUGCGUCAGCAUGUACUUAGGGUGUCUAAAUAAUAGUUAUUUUGUGGAUUGAAUGUAAACGAGAUUAUAAGUUUAAUAAUGGUUGGUUUUAUACAUAUAAAUAUGCGUUUGUUUUUUAAGACAUAUUAUGGCAUGGUAAAUUGAACUAAAUCUAGAUAGGUGCAUGUGAAAUUAAUUCUAUGUUUAAGUGCUCAUGAACUAGGAAAAUUGAUUUGGAUUUGGUAUGUUUAUAAUUGGAUUAAAAUAAUGCUUUGAUGACUUGUUUUGAUGACAUGAAAUGUUUGAGAAUUCUGCCUGUUUGAUCGAUAAACUUUGGUAAUGCUUCGAAACUCUAUUCCGGUGACGGAUAUGGGUUAGGGGUGUUACACUAAAAUUGCAAUUUGACCAUUCACCUUAAUAAUACAAAAAAAAAAAGAGACGAUGACCCAUUAUAUAUAAGUGAGGAAAAAAGGACCAAAAUUGAAAAUUUACCAUUUUUGUAUGAUGAAAAAAGUAACACAUGUCAACAAAGAAGGUCCUUUGAGCUUUUGUAUAUAGUUAUACAGAUUUAUGUGUAGAGGCAAUUGAAUGUCAGCAUCUAACUUCAUCGCUUUGUGUAUCUACUGACUUUGUUUUCUCUUUUCAAUAACAAUAAUGGUAUGUAUUUGAUAAUGGAGUUUUAGUUUAGUUGAUAAUAUUAUGUAAGAAUAAAAAUAUUGAUACGAAUAUGUAUUUUUUAUUUAAAGAUGGGUGAUUAAAUAGUAAUAACAGAAAUUUUAUAAAAACCAAUAAUGUAGAAAGAGCAGUAAAUAGUAAUUAUAAAAAGAGUUGAGGGAGGGCAGGGAAAAUAAUUGAAAUACAAACAACACAAAAACGGAUAAGAACAUAAAACAAGCGCAUUGUGGGACAAAUUAAAUACAAAAUAUUAGGAACUUUAAAUUUUAAAGAUAAAGUAUUGAAAGCAAAAUGCUAAAAUUCGAUAAGUAGUUAUUUUCACACUUUUUCAUUCAUUUAUUUCUUUAUUAUGAACUACCAAGUGUGCUUAAAAAUUAUAUCACUACAAAUAUUAAAUUUCAACUUAUUUAAUAUUUUAAUAGGUUAUCAAACAAAAUUAAAUUUUCAUUUAUGUACAAUGUUUACCAUAUGAUAAUGAAACACAAAUUACAAGUGUAGUAGGAAUAAGAGUAGGGGUGGGUGAAUCCAUUGCCUUUUUACAUAUCACCAAUUUCACCUAUAUAUACGUGGAUUGUCAUCCGGACGGCAUGUCAACAUUUAAUUAAAACUUUAAUUUUUUAAUAUAUUUAUAUAUUUUUUUAAUAAUUUUAACUUUUAGAAAACUUUAAAUAUUCUUUUUGAAUUUUUUAAUUUUAAAAAAUUAUUUCAAUGUUGAUGUGUCAUCCACAUGAUAAUCUAAAAGAAAACGUUAAUUUUUUUUGAUCUAUUUUAGAGUGAUUUGAUAAAAAAAAUUAAAAUUAAAUGAGGAACUAAAAUAAUUUUUUGUAAAAUUAGAAAACAAAUAAAUGAUUAUGCUAACUUAAAAUAUAUUUAAAAUUGAGUCCCUAAAAUUGAGAGGCGGUGUGAGGUUAGGUGAUCUAGCCAGCAAGCGUUGCAUCAUCGUACGCGUUAAAAACAAAACAUGUGAUGCUUGGUCGGCAUCUAAUUAGUGCAACUCAGUAUUUGAUACCCUAAACAAGAAUAUAAUGUUAAUGGUCAGAUUUUAGUUUUAAGUAAAUGACCUGUAAUUCCUUUAAAUUAUUUUCUUGGAGAACCAACUAUGAACACAUGCUUGUCUAUAAAAAGAAUAGAUAUAUCUACAAUUAACAGUUUCUUCCACAAAACUUGACACUGUUUACUAUUAUUUAUUGUUUUUAUAUGUUAAUUUUAAAAGAUAAUAUUUUUAAUAUCGGUGUAGUGGUGUGAUAAAAUCUAUUAAACAUUACUUCUUCUUUUUUAAUUUUUGAAUAAGAUUUAUAAUCUAAUUCAUUAACAAAUAAAAAAAUUGAGUAUCUAAAAUUCCAAUUUCAGUAAAAGAUUAUUAAUUAUUAAAUUUUAUCAGAUAUCAGUAAAAAAAUUAAUAUUUAGAUUAUAUUUAUACAAAAAAAUCUAAUAAAAAAUUGAGUUAUAGGUAAAAUAAUAAAUUUUCUUCAAGCUUAGGUUCAAACCUUCAUGCUUAAACAUAUUAUAUCAAUAUUCAAUUCUUUAUUAAAAAGGAUUUUUAAGUAAUUUCUAAAUUGAGUUGGUGUCGAGUUGAUUUGAUUUACGACACAAGCUUAGUCAACCUCAUUAUAUAAAUAUAGAUAUAGCCAAUGUUUUAAGAAUUGGAUCAAUGGUUGAAUCAAUUUGAUUACCAGACUUGGUUCAAUCGGUUUGACCAUUAAUUCAACAAUAAUUAAAUAAAGAAUUAAAAAAUCAUAGAAAUUAAAAAUUUUAAAAUUUUAAAAACCGGUUUGAUCGGUUCAAUCUUCAAUUUUUUUUCUUUCAAUUUUCAUUUUUUACCCAUUUCAAAUACUUUAUUCAAAGACCAAUUCGAUCCUUUGAUCUGAAUUGAUGUAUUAAUUGAUUUUCAACUCAACCCAUGGGUUCAAUUUGAAUUAACAACAUUAUAAUGCUUACUUGAUAUGAAUGUCUCAACUUCUAAAAGCAAAAUCAAAGGCAUCUAAGAAAGUAGUAAUUGAUAGAAUCUCUGAAACCAAAUUGAAUUCUUUUUAUUUGCACUUUUCUCGUUAAAACUUGUCCUAUGGCCAUUUGGUUCUGAUUUUUGUUUAAAAGAAUCUUAAUUAAAUUUAAAUGUAAAAACAUUUUUAUUAUUUUAUGUUAAUUUUAAGUUGUUUGUUAGUUGCAUGUUAAUAUGUAAUUCGUUACACAGUUUAGAACCAUUUCCUAUAAUUACGAGGCCUUGUCUAAAGAAUAAUUUAUUAUGAAUCAACAAUUUAAGUUGUGAUUUAGGUCUAAGUCGUUUACUUAAUUACAACCUCAAUCCUAUAUUUCAACUAAGAUCACUCUCCUCUAAAAUUUUCCUUAUAAAAGCUUAGUUACAAACAAGUAUUUUGCACUAAAAAAGAAAUUCUUCCCAUGAAUAAAAUAAGUGCUCUAUCUAAUUUCUACAUCACAAAAUAAAACAAAUCUUUAAUUAACAGGCAUUUUUUACUUGUAAUCCUCUAAAUAGUGUACUCGAAAUAUUCCUUAGUAGUUGCACUUCAAUUGGUCUUCUAUAAGACAUGAAAAAAGUAAAAAAAAAUAUUUAACAUUUGAACUUCUAUACAAAAGAAUCUCUUAGAACAUGAUAAGUGAAUUGUACUAGAACUCUUGGAAUUAUGUCCCAAAAUUGAUAUUCGUCAUAAUUCAAUUUAGCUAAUUGUUGCUCAAAGUCCUCGUAAAGUUGUAAGAAAAUAUAAUCACAAUAUUUGAGUUAAAAUAUGCGGGGAUAUAUGGCAAGUUGCUGAACUAUCCAGUUGCAAAGUGCGUUGAAUUGAUGGUGCAACUGAACUGUGCAGGGGUUUACUUAGCAAGAGGGUAUUGAUUACCAUGCCACAUUUUCUCCAAUUGCCAAACAAGUCACGGUUCACACUGUCAUUGCCCUUGCUGCUCACCAUGGAUGGCCAUUGUUUCGAAUGGAUGCUUACGAUGCUUUUUUACAAGGUGACUUACAUGAGGAAGUGUACAUGUUGCUUCCUCCCGGUUUUCGUACUCAGGGGGAGACUCAGAUUUGUCAACUACGAAAAUCACUUUAUGGAUUGAAUCAAGCAUCAAGAGAGUGGAACAUGAAGCUUACAGAGGCUCUUUUACUUUAUGGCUAUUCACAAAGUAAGCAUGACUAUUCUCUUUUUAUUAAGAGAGUUGAUGAUCGAAUUGUUAUCAUGCUUAUAUAUGUUGAUGAUUUAUUGAUAACCGAAAAUGAUGGAAUGUUUAUUGAUGAGUUGAAACAAGUGUUAAAUCAGAGUUUCAAGAUGAAAGAUUUGGGAGAGCUUAAGUAUUUUCUUGGCAUUGAAAUUUUCCGGUUAGGGAAUUGGGUUGUAUUGUAUCAAAGAAAGUAUGCUCUUGAAUUGAUUUCAGAUAUGGGGAUUAUUGGAGGGAAAGUAGCUGUUACCCCUUUAGAACAAAAUCAAAAGUUAACUUCCGUUGAAUAUAAUGAAACAAUACAAGUCAAUCACGGUGAUGAAAUGUUAUCAGAUGUACAAAUGUAUCAACUGUUGCGGAAGCGACGAUAAUAUUAAUAACAAUAUUAUCAGAAAUAUUUAGAUAAUUAUUAUGCCAACAAUUAUACUAAGAAAAUUCCCAGUUAAAUUGGAGGGGUCACAAAUGGUCCCGCUUAAAACCCAACAACUAGACAGAACUCACUUAGAUAUUUAUAGCAAUAAUAACUAAAUAAAUAUAACCAACAUAAAGCUAUUAAAUAUAAGCAAACAAAUAAGAAAUAAAAUACCAUAGAUUUAACGAGGUUCGGCCAAUUUAGCUUAGUCCUCGGACACUACCAAAUUAAUAUUUCUUCUAGAAAUAUUACAAAGGAGAAGAUUUUGGGAUAAUACAACCAAAGGGAGAGGGGUUCUAUAUAUAACAAACCAAACCACCUCCCUUUCUAUCUUUUCCUAAUGUGGGAUAUUGCCAAUAUUCAACAAAUCUCCACCUUGGUGAUAUUCCACAUCUUCGAACAUCUUCUCAUAACACAAACUUCAAUAGUGUCUUCAAAUUUGCGACCAAUCGCCUUCUUCCCUUUUGGUAGUUGUGCCAGCUUCCACGUCUUGUUUUUCUCUAGAGAUUGCAUUUCCUCUUCCAUUGCACCUAACCAUCUAUUAUUCUCUAAACUCUGAAUGGCUUCGGUGUAAGUGGAUGGAAUAUUAUCAACAACUGGAAGUGCAUAAGCUACCAUGUCAGUGAAACGAACAGGUUUCUGAAUUUCUCGUCUCUGCCUUCUGACUGCAAUUGGCUCUGAUUGCUGUUGAGGUUCUUGGGUAGAAACCUCUUCCUCAUCUGACUCUGCAUCUGCCAAUGAAGAAUCACUAGUGGUACCUUUUGCUGGAAUUACCACACUCUGCUCAAACUCCACCUACUGCGGAGUACACUCCACCUGCUGCGAAGUACUACUCACUCCUUCUGGAUUUACCUUAUUCAACAUGGCAGAUUCAUGAAAGGUAACAUCCCUACUGAUUAUCGUCUUCUUUGCCUCUAGACACCACAAACGAUAUCCCUUAACACCAGCAUUGAAGCCCAUGAAUAGAGCCUUCUUUGCUCUUGGAUCUAACUUUGAUUCUUUCACAUGAUAAUAUGCAAUAGAACCAAAAAUGCGCAAGGUGUCAUAAUCAGUAGCAGGUUUUCCAUACCAUUUCUCCAAAGGAGUCUUGCCAUUUAUAGCAGAUGAUGGCAAAUGAUUGAUGAGAUGUUGAGCGUACGUCACAGCCUCAGUCCAAAACUUUCUAUCUAAUCCAGCAUUAGAUAACAUACAUCGAACUUUCUCCACAAGCGUUCGAUUCAUACGCUCUGCCACCCCAUUCUGUUGCGGUGUUCCACCUACGGUGAAGUGCCUUACUAUGCCACAAUCUUGGCAUAUCUUCAGGAAAAGAUCGCUUUUAUAUUCUCCACCGUUGUCUGAUCGGAGAACCUUAAUCUUCCUUCCUGUCUGAUUUUCAACUUUAGUUUUCCACUUAAGGAAAACUUCAAGCACCUCAUCUUUGUUCUUCAUAGGAAACACCCAAACUCGUCUGGAAAAAUCAUCAAUAAAGGUGACAAAAUAACGUCUUCCUCCAAGUGAUGGAGUCUUGGACGGUCCCCAUACAUCAGAAUGCACAUAAUCCAGAAUACCUUUAGUAUUGUGAAUCCCAGUGCCAAAUUUCACCCUUCGUUGUUUUCCCAGAACACAAUGCUCGCAAAAUUCAAGUUUGCAAGUCUUUGUACCUUUCAAUAAUCCUUGCUUGGCUAGAGUUUGCAAGGAUUUUUCACCAGCAUGGCCCAAACGCAUAUGCCACAGCUGUGUUGCCUCAGCGUCCUUCUUGGUACUCGUAAUUGCUGCUGCUGUUGUCCCGACCACUGUACUACCUUGGUAGUAAUACAGAUUGUUCUUUCUUAUGCCUUUCAACAUCACCAAUGCUCCUGAAGUUGCUUUAAGAACUCCAUCUCGUAUUGUCACAACUAGGCCUUUAGAUUCUAACGACCCCAAAGAGAUGAGAUUCUUCUUCAACUUUGGGACAUAUCGUACAUCCCGCAAAAUUCUAGUAGAUCCAUCAUGACUCCUCAGUUUAAUUGAACCUAUCCCGGCUAUUUUACAUGUGUUAUCAUUACCCAUGUAAACAACCCCUUCAUCUAGUUUUUGAAAUUCAAAGAACCAUUCCCGAAUGGGACACAUAUGAUAGGAACAACCAGAAUCCAUGAUCCACUCAUCUGCAUAUAAUGUUGAAGAUGUCAUACUAAGAGAAAAGUCUGACUCUGCUUCACUAUUGCAUUCUGCAACAUUUGCAUCUUGCGGAGUCUUCCCUUUUUUCUUCAAUUUUGGACAAUCUUUCUUCCAAUGUCCUUUUUCUUUGCAAAAAAAAACAUUCAUCUUUGGCAACAGCUCGACCUUUGGACUUUCUUCUCUUCCCCUUAGACUGACUUUGCUGACGACCUCUUGUUACCAAUGCUUCCACUGCUGCUUCACCUGAACCUUUCAACUUAUCCUUUCGGCGUAGUUCAUAGCUAUACAAUGCAGCAGUUACUUCAUUGAAAGUUACUUCCGAUUUUCCAUGAAGUAGAGUAGUUUCAAGGUACUCAAACUCCUCAAGAAGCGAUCCCAACAACAUUAACGCCAAGUCUUCGUCUUCAAAAGUCACAUCCAAAUUCAACAAAUCAGCCACCAGCUGAUUAAAAUUGGUAAUGUGCUCGUUCAUCGUGGUACCAGGAACAUAAUUGAAACGAAACAGUCUUUUCUUCAUAUGCAACUUAUUUUGACUGUUCUUCUUCAAGAAUUUCUCCUCCAAUGCUUUCCACAAUUUACUUGCAGAAGUCUCUUUACUGAAUGUAUACUUUUGCUCUCUGGAAAGACAUGAUCGAAUUGUACCACAUGCCAAUCGGUUGAUGGUCUUCCAUUCUUUAUCAUCAACCCCUUCUGGUUUUUCUUCCUCAAUGGCAAUAUCUAGACCUUGUUGAAAGAGGGCAUCUAAAAGCUCGCUUUGCCACAUGCCGAAAUGACCUGUUCCAUCAAAAAUUUCCACUGCAAAUCUCGUAUUUGCAGUUCCAACCCUCGACAAAAUGUACGAAGUGGAAGUUGUUGAUAUGGAUGGUUUUUCUUCUGUCAUUUUUGCCAUAGCUUCUAUUUAAUAGCCACCAAAUGCGGAAUACCCACAAGCUUUCGGAAAUGUUUCUGAUGUGUAAGAUCAAACUAAGCUGCAAACACAGAGCAUACUACAAAACCUUGGCUCUGAUACCAAUUGUUGCGGAAGCGACGAUAAUAUUAAUAACAAUAUUAUCAGAAAUAUUUAGAUAAUUAUUAUGCCAACAAUUAUACUAAGAAAAUUCCCAGUUAAAUUGGAGGGGUCACAAAUGGUCCCGCUUAAAACCCAACAACUAGACAGAACUCACUUAGAUAUUUAUAGCAAUAAUAACUAAAUAAAUAUAACCAACAUAAAGCUAUUAAAUAUAAGCAAACAAAUAAGAAAUAAAAUACCAGAGGUUUAACGAGGUUCGGCCAAUUUAGCUUACGUCCUCGGACACUACCAAAUUAAUAUUUCUUCUAGAAAUAUUACAAAGGAGAAGAUUUUGGGAUAAUACAACCAAAGGGAGAGGGGUUCUAUAUAUAACAAACCAAACCACCUCCCUUUCUAUCUUUUCCUAAUGUGGGAUAUUGCCAAUAUUCAACAUCAACAACUUAUUGGGAGAUUGUUGUACUUGACUCACACAAGGCUAGAUAUUGCUUUUGCAAUUCAACACUCAAGUUAGUUCAUGCAACGACCAAAAAAGUCACACUAUGAGGCAGCACUAUGAAUAGUAAGAUAUGUGAAGAAAGAUCUCAGGAGAGGGUUGUUUUUUCUGGUAAAUGGAUCCACACAAUUAAUAGCAUAUUGUGACUUGGAUUGGGCAUCUUGUCCAAUAUUGAGAAAGUCAAUUACAUGAUUUUGUGUUAAAUUGGGAGAUUCAUUGAUCUCGUGGAAAAAAAAACCAUCUCAAGGUCAUCAGCUGAGGCCAAAUACAAAAGCAUGGCCUUGACAAUAUUUGAAAUUGUAUGGUUGAGAAGGUUAUUAGACAAGCUUGGUGUUAAAGACAGGGAACCAACAACGUUAUUCUGGAAUAAUAAAGCAGCAAUUCAAAUAGCAAAUAAUCUUGUCUUUCACGAGAGAACAAAACAUAUAGAAAUUGAUUGUCUCUUUGUGAGAGAAAAAAUACAAAGAGGGUUGGUUCACACUGAGUAUGUGUCAACAAAAGAUCAACUUGCAUAUUUUCUAACAAAAGGACUUGGAUUCAUAGCAUGAACACUUAGUUGGCAAGUUAGGCAUGAAAGAUUUAUUUCACUCUCACCCACCAACUUGAAGGGGAGUGUGGAAGUUGUAAAUAUGAUUAGGCAAUUAUUAAGUUUAUUCAUUAAACUAUUAGUAGAAUGGUGUAUAUUAAUCAACUAUUGUAAGCUUAUUGAAUUGAAUCGAGUAAGAAAUUCUUUUACUCUUGAAUCAAUUGUUUUCCUAAUUCAAUCGAUUGUUCUCUUUGUUUAAUAGAUUAUUCUCUCAUUUCAAUCGAUUGUUUUCUUGUUUUAAUCCUCAGCCACCUCGAUAGGUAGGUAAAAUAAAUUAUAAUUUUAUUUUAAAUAUAAUAUAUAUUCUAAAAUUAAAAUAUUACUAUUACAUAGAAGUAACUUUUUGGACUUAUAUACAAGUGUGUUUGAAAAGUCAUAUGUAAAUUGGAUUUCAGUAUAAUGAUUAGUAACUAUUCACUUAAUUACCCCCAAUUCUCACAUUCUCUUAAAAAUUAAAAAUUGUAAUUAAAGUACCCUAAUUAAACUUGAUUAAAUAAACUCCUUAAUUAUAAUAAUUACUAAAAACAUAUUAUAUAUAAUUACAAAUAAUUACACGUAAGUAACAAAAUUAAUGUUGCUAUAAUUAAACAAUAUUCAUCGUAUUUUUUAGGGCUUCAAUUAUGGUCAUGAUGUAUCUUAUCUGUUUCUCUGCAUGAUUACCGAUUAAGUUGUGAAAUUUUCAUUAUGUGUGAUGAUAAUUUCUUUUCAUAUAAUUAUACUAUCACACAAAUUAAAUCUACCAAUUCAUCUUAUGUUUUGGGAUAAAAUGAAACCAAUAAAUCUACUAUCCUAACUGCAUUACAUCUUCUCAUGAUUAUGGAUUCAAUUUGAAGUUCAAGAAUAUAUAUAAUUCUCCUAAUAAUAAUUUUUCUGGCCUUUCAAUUUUAUACAAAAUAAAUCAUUUUAACUUUCCGUUUAAGUUUUCGUCUUUUUUAUUCUGUCAAAUCAUCCCAAAAUAGAUGGAAAAAUUUAACUUUGUUAACUUUGCUGAUGUGGCAUACACGUUGAUUGCCACGUGGAUGACUACAUGUCAACAUUUAAUUGAAUUUUUAAAAUUUAAAAGAUAUAAAAAAUAUUUUUAAUGAUUUUAAUUUUAAAAAAUAUUUUGUUGAAUUUUUUAAAAUUUAAAAUUUAAUUAAAUGCUGAUGUAUCAUCCACGCGUAUGCCAUGUUAGAAAGUUAAAAAAAACAUUAACUUUGAUAGAAAAACAAAUUUAAAAGCUAAAAGAAGAGAAUCCUAGCUAAAAUAAGGAACCUAAUUAAAGUUAGGGAGGAUAAGGAUAAGAUAAUAAAAUAUGAGGAUGAUUAUAAUGUAUAAUUAGAGGGCAAAUUAAAAAAAGGAUUUGGGCUUAAAACUUGACAAAAUUGGCACACCCCAGUUGGGAAAACAACAAGAAGCAUGCUUUAUGAGUACAUUACGUCUUAAUAUCCAUUAAUUGUUGGCUGCUUAACCCACAAGUAAAAGCUUUGGAUAUAUGUAAAUUCCAUUUUUCUUUGCUAACGUUGUCGAGUUUCAGCGGUAAUCAUUUCUAAAUUGAUGCAAGUAACAAGCUUUCAUUACUUUUAUCUCACUAAUUCUCUUGAAUGAACAAAAUAACAGAUUUGAGUUUUAAAAAUAGGAUAAACAUGUAUAUAUAAUUAUAGCUGUCAUGAUUAUUUAUUAAUUUAUUGAAUGCAAUCUAUCUAAAGUUGAAAUAUACGUAAUUAUCAUACUAAUGAUGGGUUUGGAUGGGCGAUUGAGUGCGGUGCGUUGCGUUUAGCUUACUUUUUGUCUCACGCUACAGUAUCGCUACAGUAUCUAAUCUCACCACCACCACUGUUUUUACACUAACUGCAGGUAAACGCACUGUCCAUCCAAACUCACUCUAAAUCUCAAAUAAUUCAUACACAAUUUAUUUAGUCAAUGAACUCAUGUUCCUAAAUAUUGCAAAAUAGUUACACUAGAAUAGUGUCAAUCUUUAAUUUUAAGGUCGAAACUUAUUUUGGUAUAAUGUCAUUAAUUUUUAACGUUUGUAUUUUUUUUUUGUUAAUUUGAUUAUUUUUUUAGUUAAAUGUGACUUUCAAUUUUUUAGAAAGAGUCACAUUUGGUAUUCACUCUUUCAAAACGAGAUUCUUUUUUUUUAAUGGAACCAUACAAGGGAAAAAUAACAAACCCUCAUUAGAUGGUGAAGAGCAAGCUCUAUCAACACAAUAAAGGCUUUAGCCUCAGCAUCAAUAGAGCAUCAUGACACGCUGACAAUCGGCUUUGCCACAACUCAAGACGACAUAUCUGGAGUGAUUGCAAGCUCUUAAUACGAUAUGAAAAUUAACCUUGGAUGGUCCAAAGCGGCGAGCAAAAAUCGACAAAAGAAUCGAGUAUUCACCAAACUAGAGAGGACGACAACAAAAUCAACCCUAAAAUCACUAGUAAAAUUAAGGUUACCUGCGUAAGUAAGAAUAAAAAAUGUGCUACAAAAGCAGACAAAAACUUCUAAAACUAAAAACUUAUUAAACAAUGGAAAAAGAAACAAAAAAUAUAUAAACCUCAAGACAACAUGGGUCCAAAUCGACUCGUGAAGUCAUUUAUUAUUCUGAAAUACUCUCAAAACAAAAACAUAUUAAGAACUUGAAGAAGAGCCAUCCACUUUUCAAGAAAAAUUACUGGUAGCCAGUGGAGUUUUAGCAAACGACAAGCAUCGUCAUCUGUCCAUCACAACUUGUGAAGACAAUAAAGUACCCACAAAAUAGAUCUGCAAACUGAAAAGAGAGAAAAGAUGUGGAGUGAAUGAGAAGAAGAAAGAAAUAAAGGGUUGGUGGGAGGGAGAAAAAAGCAGGCGAUAGCCAGCCUGGAGGCUGGCACCACCGCUGGGCAAAACUAAAGAUAAGAAACAAAUGGCUUGGAGAAAAAAAUAGAAAAGAAUCUUUCAAAAGAGUUGAAUUAUUUUUUUAAUAGAAAAUACUGACUAAAACGUUAUAUUUUUAAACAUGGUAGCUGGCAUGGCAUAUCACAUGUAUCUCAUGCUAUUUUUCUGAACUUUUAUAUACUUUUUAAUUUUAAAUUAAUUGUUGAUAUGGCAAAUAAAACAAAUAGUGUCAUGUCAACAUGAAUUACACGUGGACUAUCAUGCAGGUUGCUAUGACAACAUCGUUUAAAAAAUAAUAAUGUUUUAGUCAGAAUUUUUAUUUAAAAAAAUUAACUCUUUUUGAAAGGUUAAUAAUUAAAUUUAUCUUAAAAAAAUUCAAAUUAACAAAAAAAUAUAAAUAUUAAUGUCUAAAUGUAACAUUAUGCCUUGUAUUUUCUUGUUAUUGCAUAUUAUUCUAUCUUAAUAUAGUCAUUCAAGUUUAUUACGUGAUAAAAUUUUCUACCUUCACUUGAUUGUAAUUAUAUCACAUAGGUUAUAUCAUUGAUUGUCUAUGGUGAUAUAUUUAAGUUGGAUUUCUAUAACAAUUAUCAACUAAUUUUAAGUUGAAUGUUAGAGAAAUUUGAGGGUGAUCUAUAAAAGUUGGGGUUGAAAUAUAGUUAGUAGGUGACCGCGAUGCCCACCACAACGUGCCGUUAGGGGAGGUUGCAUGUUGUUGUCUAAGUGUGGCAAAAGAUCCCAUGGUGGUUCUUGCAAACACUCAUCAAGCUGCAUAAUUGGUCACUAAUGGCUUUCGAUUGAAAAAAAUAAUAAUCAUUUCUACGUCUUUAUCUGUAAAAAUGGUCUGCUACUGCUAGCUAGCAUGUGAAAAUACGAAUGCUACAAAACACAGGCUGAUGAAGAAACAUUAUCAAUUUUGGGGCCAAGGAAUCCGACACAACAAUAAUCCCACUUUCUCGAGGGUUUGGCAAAGUUCAUUCUAACAAUCAAAUGUGCUAUUAUGUACUAUCUUUUAACAAUGACUCUUGUUCCUUUCUCCCACACUUCUCAAUGAUGCUUAAGGAUGUAAGGAUUGUGACCAAAUAUUGUGCCAUCAGUAAUUUAUGGAUAACAAUGAUUCAAUUUUUUUUUUUAUAAAAAAAGGUCAUAAUUAAUGUGUAUUCUUGUAGUUUUCUAAAAAUCAAAUUGAAUAUCACAACUUAUCUGAAUUAAAAAAAUUAACUAAAUAUAAUUAAAUAAUAUAAAUUCAAACUAAAAUAAAAUUGAAACGAAAUCCAAAUUGAAUAUUAGAGUUUAUCAUAUUUUAAUUUUUGUGAGUCGUAGGGAAAUCUAAAGGACCCCAAAUCUGAUCAUAUAUAUAAUUAGUAGUAGUAAUAGACAGCACAUGGCUGCCUUUAAGUAAAAAGAAGGGCAUGAAAGCCGUGUUCCCUCAGUGAAGGGAUUUCCUGUUCCAAUCAAACAUGCUUUGAUAUUGUUGGUAGAUCUCAAACAAUUACUAAUUACAUUUUGGAGUUAUUUGAAUGCUGAAUAAUCACGUUUGAUUCCUUAAAAAGAGCUAUAACACAUCCACAUACUCUUUGGGUCAGCCAUCCUCAUGUGAAUAAAAGGAACCCCCUAACUGUUCGUCAAGCAGAUGGGAAAAGUGUGGCCACUUAUUUGCUGGUAAGUCUACCAAACUUCUAAUUCCUGGUCGGUUAACCUUGUGGGGUUGCAAAUUGCCGAUGAUUAUGUUGAUUACAUAUAGAUUUCGAUAUCAUUUCAUUAUUUCAAGUGAUUGCAGAUGUUGAGAUUCGAAUUUUAAAUUUAAUAGAUAUUUUUUAAAGAUGAUUGUCUAAAUUAAUUUGGAUGCACCGAUUGAAUUCUAAUAUGAUGUGAAAUUUGGAAUUUGGUGAACCAUAAAGUUGAGAUGGUAUAAAAUUGAUGGGAUUUGUACUUUUGGGAGAUUGCACAAGAUUUUCAAAGAGAUUUUCCAAGGAAGAAAAAGGAAUAGUGUUUUAGGGGGUAUAGAAGGCAACAAGCAAGUUGAUUGAUGGAGACACAGAGAAUAUGUGGCUGUGGGCCUUAACUUUAUCUAUAUUUCAAUCUACACCAAUUGGGGGGUUAUGAUUUUGCCCAAAGACGUGCAGAUAAGAUCCAAUUUGUGCCUGACUGGCAUGCUGAUUUUUUUUUUUAACUUUCUUUUCUUACCAAACAAUUAAGGAUCAUUACAUCUUUUUCUUUACCAUAGAAAUAGGUGAUAUGGAUAAUAAUGAAACGUAAAGGAUUUAGCUAACCAGAUUUUUGGUUGUCAACUGGGUUGAUUUUUCGUUUUUGAUCAAUGGUUGAGGGUAAUUUUAAAUGGAGAUUGUGAGGCCUGAAAAAAAGGCUGAAAAGUAAGUCCAUUGACUGAGAAAAGCAAGGCGGCCUACCUAGCCCAACUGCACUCUAGCUUGUGCUUUUAGGAUUAGAGUAUGGACUGUUUGGGUUCUUAAAGUUGGGUCACAACCUAUUAUAUAGAGAUCAUAAGCAGGACAGGUUAAUUUUAAAGCCACAGCUUUUUGUCAUUUAAAAAAAAAAAAAAAAGGUCACAAAUGAAGAGUGUACAUGCCCUUUGUUUGACUUGCUUCAUAUUACCGUUCAUAUCGAUCUAGAAGGUAGAGUUUGAUUAAUUGAAUUUCAAUUAAAUAAAACUAAACACUUGUAAAGUUCUCCAUUCAAAGAUUUAAACAAUUGUAAAGUUUUCUGACAUCCCACCUUAGUUUAAGGAAAAGCCAUUUCCCUGGAUGACAUAUUACUAGUACCCAACGAUUCUAAUAUCAAACAUGGCGGUAGUGUUAUCGUUUAGGACAAUGAAACCAGCCUAAGGUACAUUGGCAUGGAUUUUUGUUAGAUUUAAGAGCCACACAAACAUGCAAUGUGAGCCACCAAGUUUGAGAUUUUUGCUCCCAAUAAGCACAACAAGUGGAGGCAAAGGGGCUUUGAUAUCAGAUUCUGGUUGCCACAUGGCAAAGCACUGGCCAAUUGGGCAUCCACUCUCCUAUCCAUUAUGAUAAACCCCCUGGAAUACAUUAACAGAUUUUAAUAUCCUUGUCUGCCACAAAAACCCCCUCAAUUCCCCCACCUCAUUGUAGGCAAAAUGGCCUCUGUUUGUGCUUCUUCUGCCAUUGCAGCCGUUGCCAUCUCAUCCCCCAGGCAAGCUCUCUUUCCCUUAUUAUUAUCAACCUAUUUUCGAACAAUAUAAACCUAUGUUAUUAAGAAUGAAAGUGAGUGUGGGGAUAUCUAAUUAUGUGCCGACAUGAAUGUCAGAAGAAAAAUAGUAACACAGUUAACCAUGCUAAAUGUCUGCACAUGUAAGUGUAUUAGAAAUGAUUAACUGGUAGUUAACCAUUUAUAAGUGAUCAUGCUACACUGAUCGGGUAGGAAUUUUCCAGCUAUUUACAUGUGAUAGAAUUCUUUGGUUAAAAUGGUGUAAACAAAAACUAGAAAUAAUAGUUGAGGCGAUCAGGUUAUGAUGCGUAAGAAAUGUUUACAGUUCCCAGAGGAGUGGAUCAGUAGUGAGGACAACAAAGGCUUCUUUCCUUACAGGGAAGAAACUUCGAUCAGUCAAAAAGUACACAAAACCAGCAGCAGCCCGAACAGUUCCGGUGUGUGCAGUGGCUGACCCCGACCGACCUCUUUGGUUCCCAGGCAGUACUCCUCCUCCAUGGCUCGAUGGCAGCCUCCCUGGAGACUUCGGUUUUGAUCCUCUAGGCCUUGGUAUAAUCAUGUUUCAUCCAUUGAAUUGAAUCAAGUACCUCACAAAGUUAAAAUCUUUUUUUUUCUGUGCGUGUGUGUGUGUGUGUGUGUGUAAUAUAGGGUUGAAUUUUAUUUUUUAUUUUUCACAGGAUCAGACCCUGAGACCUUGAGAUGGAACGUACAGGCAGAGCUCGUCCAUUGCAGAUGGGCAAUGUUAGGAGCCGCUGGGAUUUUCAUCCCAGAGUUCCUAACCAAAAUUGGCAUUUUAAACACUCCAUCAUGGUACUCUGCUGGAACCGAGGAAUACUUCACUGACACCACCACCCUCUUCAUCGUUGAGCUUAUUUUCAUCGGGUGGGCAGAAGGGAGAAGAUGGGCUGACAUUCUCAAGCCUGGGUGCGUAAACACCGACCCCAUCUUCCCUAACAACAAGCUCACGGGCACCGAUGUUGGGUACCCUGGUGGGCUGUGGUUCGAUCCUCUUGGUUGGGGAACUGGCUCCCCUGAGAAGAUCAAGGAAUUGAGGACUAAAGAGAUCAAGAAUGGUCGAUUGGCUAUGUUGGCGGUAAUGGGUGCUUGGUUCCAACACAUCUAUACUGGCACUGGACCCAUUGACAACCUUUUCGACCACCUCGCCGAUCCUGGUCACGCCACCAUUUUUGCUGUAAGUUCAUCCCCUCAAAAACCAAUUCCAUUUGUAGUGUUUAGUUUCAGUUUGGAUAGAUUAUUCAAUUUGAAUCGGUUUUGGUUGAAUUAUUAUUCAAGUAUAUUCUAUUUGGUUAUGUUUUUGAUUCAGAGGUUAAAGCUUUAGGAGUUAAAAUUUUAAUGCCAUAUAUAGAUGCUGUCAAUAAACACCUUUACUUUGAAUCAAAUUUGUUGUCUUCCUAAGGGUCGGACUAACUGGUGUUGGUUGUCCAUGUCAGGCUUUCACUCCCAAGUGAGACAGGAUUAAGAGACAACCUUUAAGAGCGAUUAAAAUGUUGGGAUGACAAUGAUGAUCAUACCAUUCCAUACGUUGGAAGAAGAGCGGAAGACUUGUAAUGUUGUGGGGGAAUGUUUGUAUUAGUAGAAACUGUAAUGCCUCUGUUUGUAUUGUAGAUGUUAUAGUG